This 250-nucleotide unclassified non-coding RNA is filed under the name plant metagenome. RNAcentral's name for it is "partial contains small subunit ribosomal RNA, internal transcribed spacer 1, and 5.8S ribosomal RNA". The record is from RNAcentral.
GUAGGUGAACCUGCGGAAGGAUCAUUAACGUAUCUAAGGCGUUCGGUCGCGCGCCCUGCUCCGAUCGAAAGGUCGUGCAGCGGGCCGAGGCAGACGUCUAACCUUCACAAACCCCACUGUGCACCUUCACGGCAGCGGCCGUCGGGCGAGAGCCUGUCGGUCAAAGCCGUCUCUACAAACACUAGUAACAAGAAUGUCAAAGCGACUCUGUCGCCCAUUAAACAUAACAACUUUCAACAACGGAUCUCUU